RNAcentral lists this ribosomal RNA (494 nucleotides) under uncultured bacterium. Its description in RNAcentral is "partial 16S ribosomal RNA". It matches the Rfam family "Bacterial small subunit ribosomal RNA", at positions 28 to 507 of the family's 1533-position model. The record is from RNAcentral.
GACGAACGCUGGCGGCGCGCUUAACACAUGCAAGUCGAACGGAAAGGCCUGCUUUCCCUUGUGGAUUGCGGGUACUCGAGUGGCGAACGGGUGAGUAACACGUGAGUGAUCUGCCCCCAACUUGGGUAUAAGCCUGGGAAACUGGGUCUAAUUCCCGAUAGGACUGCAGGGUGGUGCCUGUGGUGGAAAACGAUGUUCUAGUGGUUGGGGCUGAGCUCGCGGCCUAUCAGCUUGUUGGUGGGGUAAUGGCCUACCAAGGCGGCGACGGGUAGCCGGCCUGGGAGGGGGGACGGGCACAUUGGGACUGAGACACGGCCCAGACUACUACGGGAGGCAGCAGUGGGGAAGAUUGCACAAUGGGCGGAAGCCUGAUGCAGCGACGCCGCGUGGGGGAUGACGGCCUUCGGGUUGUAAACUCCUUUCGACCGCGAGGAAGCCACCUGGUUGGAAGGGUGGUGACGGUAGUGGUAGAAGAAGCACCGGCUAACUACGUG